GAUGAACGCUGGCGGCGUGCCUAAUACAUGCAAGUCGAGCGAACGGACGAGAAGCUUGCUUCUCUGAUGUUAGCGGCGGACGGGUGAGUAACACGUGGAUAACCUACCUAUAAGACUGGGAUAACUUCGGGAAACCGGAGCUAAUACCGGAUAAUAUUUUGAACCGCAUGGUUCAAAAGUGAAAGACGGUCUUGCUGUCACUUAUAGAUGGAUCCGCGCUGCAUUAGCCAGUUGGUAAGGUAACGGCUUACCAAGGCAACGAUGCAUAGCCGACCUGAGAGGGUGAUCGGCCACACUGGAACUGAGACACGGUCCAGACUCCUACGGGAGGCAGCAGUAGGGAAUCUUCCGCAAUGGGCGAAAGCCUGACGGAGCGACGCCGCGUGAGUGAUGAAGGUCUUCGGAUCGUAAAACUCUGUUAUUAGGGAAGAACAUAUGUGUAAGUAACUGUGCACAUCUUGACGGUACCUAAUCAGAAAGCCACGGCUAACUACGUG
This 497-nucleotide ribosomal RNA is filed under the name uncultured bacterium. RNAcentral describes it as "partial 16S ribosomal RNA". It matches the Rfam family "Bacterial small subunit ribosomal RNA", at positions 28 to 507 of the family's 1533-position model. The record is from RNAcentral.